Molecule: ribosomal RNA, 476 nt
Filed under: uncultured bacterium
Lineage: Bacteria
Description: SSU rRNA
Rfam family: Bacterial small subunit ribosomal RNA
Source: RNAcentral
AGGACGAACGCUGGCGGCGUGCUUAACACAUGCAAGUCGAACGGUGAAGAAGAGCUUGCUCUUUGGAUCAGUGGCGAACGGGUGAGUAACACGUGAGUAACCUGCCCUUGACUCUGGGAUAAGCGUUGGAAACGACGUCUAAUACCGGAUACGACCUUCGGAGGCAUCUCCUGGGGGUGGAAAGAAUUUUGGUCAAGGAUGGACUCGCGGCCUAUCAGCUUGUUGGUGAGGUAAUGGCUCACCAAGGCGACGACGGGUAGCCGGCCUGAGAGGGUGACCGGCCACACUGGGACUGAGACACGGCCCAGACUCCUACGGGAGGCAGCAGUGGGGAAUAUUGCACAAUGGGCGAAAGCCUGAUGCAGCAACGCCGCGUGAGGGACGACGGCCUUCGGGUUGUAACCGUCUUUAGUAGGACGAAGCGAAGUGACGGUACCUGCAGAAGAAGCACCGGCUAACUACGUGCCAGCAGCCGC